RNAcentral lists this ribosomal RNA (441 nucleotides) under uncultured bacterium. Its description in RNAcentral is "partial 16S ribosomal RNA". It matches the Rfam family "Bacterial small subunit ribosomal RNA", at positions 338 to 795 of the family's 1533-position model. The record is from RNAcentral.
CCUACGGGAGGCAGCAGUGGGGAAUAUUGCACAAUGGGGGAAACCCUGAUGCAGCGACGCCGCGUGAGUGAAGAAGUAUUUCGGUAUGUAAAGCUCUAUCAGCAGGGAAGAAGCAAGACGGUACCUGACUAAGAAGCCCCGGCUAACUACGUGCCAGCAGCCGCGGUAAUACGUAGGGGGCAAGCGUUAUCCGGAUUUACUGGGUGUAAAGGGAGCGUAGACGGUAUGGCAAGUCUGAAGUGAAAGCCCAGGGCUUAACCCUGGGACUGCUUUGGAAACUGUAUGGCUGGAGUGCAGGAGAGGUAAGUGGAAUUCCUAGUGUAGCGGUGAAAUGCGUAGAUAUUAGGAGGAACACCAGUGGCGAAGGCGGCUUACUGGACUGUAACUGACGUUGAGGCUCGAAAGCGUGGGGAGCAAACAGGAUUAGAUACCCUUGUAGUC